Unclassified non-coding RNA from Colobus angolensis palliatus, 112 nucleotides. It matches the Rfam family "Y RNA". From Rfam's summary of the family: Y RNAs are components of the Ro ribonucleoprotein particle (Ro RNP), in association with Ro60 and La proteins. The Y RNAs and Ro60 and La proteins are well conserved, but the function of the Ro RNP is not known. The record is from Ensembl. Lineage: Eukaryota; Metazoa; Chordata; Mammalia; Primates; Cercopithecidae.
GGCUAGUCUGAAGGGAGUGAGUUAUCUCAACUGAUUGUUCACAGUCAGUUACAGAUUAAACUCCUUGUUUUACUCUUUCCCACUUCUCACUACUGCACUUGACUAGUCUUAA